This 1938-nucleotide long non-coding RNA is filed under the name Salmo salar (Atlantic salmon). Its description in RNAcentral is "lncRNA (ENSSSAG00000103676.1)". Lineage: Eukaryota; Metazoa; Chordata; Actinopteri; Salmoniformes; Salmonidae. The record is from RNAcentral.
GAGAACAGAGGAUCAGGAACAGAAACAUAGAGCUGGAGAACAGAGGAUCAGGAACAGAAACAUAGAGCUGGAGAACAGAGGAUCAGGAACAAAAACAUAGAGCUGGAGACCAGAGGAUAAGGAACAAAAACAUAGCUGGAGAACAGAGGAUCAGGAACAGAAAUAUAGAGCUGGAGAACAGAGGAUCAGGAACAGAAACAUAGAGCUGGAGAACAGAGGAUCAAGAACAGAAACAUAGAGCUGGAGAACAGAGGAUCAGGAACAAAAAAAGAGCUGGAGAACAGAGGAUCAGGAACAGAAACAGAGCUUGAGAACAGAGGAUCAGGAACAGAAACAUAGAGCUGGAGAACAGAGGAUCAGGAACAGAAACAUAGAGCUGGAGAACAGAGGAUCAGGAACAGAAACAUAGAGCUGGAGAACAGAUGAUCAGGAACAGAAACAUAGAGCUGGAGAACAGAGGAUCAGGAACAGAAACAUAGAGCUGGAGAACAGAGGAUCAGGAACAGAAACAUAGAGCUGGAGAACAGGGGAUCAGGAACAGAAACAUAGAGCUGGAGAACAGAGGAUCAGGAACAGAAACAUAGAGCUGGAGAACAGAGGAUCAGGAACAGGAAACAUAGAGCUGGAGAACAGAGGAUCAGGAACAUAGUGCUGGAGAACAGAGGAUCAGGAACAGGAAACAUAGAGCUGGAGAACAGAGGAUCAGGAACAUAGAGCUGGAGAACAGAGGAUCAGGAACAGGAAACAUAGAGCUGGAGAACAGAGGAUCAGGAACAGAAACAUAGAGCUGGAGAACAGAGGAUCAGGAACAGAAACAUAGAGCUGGAGAACAGAGGAUCAGGAACAGAAACAUAGAGCUGGAGAACAGAGGAUCAGAAACAUAGAGCUGGAGAACAGGGGAUCAGAAACAUAGAGCUGGAGAACAGAGGAUCAGGAACAGAAACAUAGAGCUGGAGAACAGGGGAUCAGGAACAGAAACAUAGAGCUGGAGAACAGAGGAUCAGGAACAGAAACAUAGAGCUGGAGAACAGAGGAUCAGGAACAGAAACAUAGAGCUGGAGAACAGAGGAUCAGGAACAGAAACAUAGAGCUGGAGAACAGGGGAUCAGGAACAGAAAUAUAGAGCUGGAGAACAGAGGAUCAGGAACAGAAAUAUAGAGCUGGAGAACAGGGGAUCAGGAACAUAGAGCUGGAGAACAGAGGAUCAGGAACAGAAACAUAGAGCUGGAGAACAGAGGAUCAGGAACAGAAACAUAGAGCUGGAGAACAGGGGAUCAGGAACAGAAACAUAGAGCUGGGGAACAGGGGAUCAGGAACAGAAACAUAGAGCUGGAGAACAGGGGAUCAGGAACAGAAACAUAGAGCUGGAGAACAGAGGAUCAGGAACAGAAACAUAGAGCUGGAGAACAGAGGAUCAGGAACAGAAACAUAGAGCUGGAGAACAGAGGAUCAGGAACAGAGACAUAGAGCUGGAGAACAGAGGAUCAGGAACAGAAACAUAGAGCUGGAGAACAGGGGAUCAGGAACAGAAACAUAGAGCUGGAGAACAGGGGAUCAGGAACAGAAACAUAGAGCUGGAGAACAGAGGAUCAGGAACAGAAACAGGAGAGAAGAGAUACAGGAAGCUGGAUCAGGGAUGCAGGAGAGCAGAGACAUACAGGAAGCGGGAUCAGGGAUGCAGGAGAGCAGAGACAUACAGGAAGCGGGAUCAGGGAUGCAGGAGAGCAGAGACAUACAGGAAGCUGGAACAGGGAUGCAGGAGAGCAGAGACAUACAGGAAGCGGGAUCAGGGAUGCAGGAGAGCAGAGACAUACAGGAAGCUGGAUCAGGGAUGCAGGAGAGCAGAGACAUACAGGAAGCUGGAUCAGGGAUGCAGGAGAGCAGCGACACUGUGUGUCUGAUAUGAAACCCUUUCCCUUAUCUAGUGCACUAUUUCUU